AUUGAACGCUGGCGGCAUGCCUUACACAUGCAAGUCGAACGGCAGCGGGCCUUCGGGUGCCGGCGAGUGGCGAACGGUGAGUAAUGCAUCGGAACGUGCCAUUGAGUGGGGAGUAACGUAGCGAAAGUUACGCUAAUACCGCAUAUUCUGUGAGCAGGAAAGCAGGGGACCGCAAAGGCCUUGCGCUCUUUGAGCGGCCGAUGUCAGAUUAGCUAGUUGGUGAGGUAAAGGCUUACCAAGGCGACGAUCUGUAGCGGGUCUGAGAGGAUGAUCCGCCACACUGGAACUGAGACACGGUCCAGACUCCUACGGGAGGCAGCAGUGGGGAAUUUUGGACAAUGGGCGCAAGCCUGAUCCAGCCAUGCCGCGUGAGUGAAGAAGGCCUUCGGUUGUAAAG
RNAcentral lists this ribosomal RNA (397 nucleotides) under uncultured bacterium. RNAcentral's name for it is "bacterial SSU rRNA". It matches the Rfam family "Bacterial small subunit ribosomal RNA", at positions 30 to 430 of the family's 1533-position model. The record is from RNAcentral.